RNAcentral lists this ribosomal RNA (317 nucleotides) under uncultured bacterium. RNAcentral's name for it is "bacterial SSU rRNA". It matches the Rfam family "Bacterial small subunit ribosomal RNA", at positions 28 to 334 of the family's 1533-position model. The record is from RNAcentral.
GAUGAACGCUGGCGGCGUGCCUAAUACAUGCAAGUCGAGCGAACAGACAAGGAGCUUGCUCCUUUGACGUUAGCGGCGGACGGGUGAGUAACACGUGGGUAACCUACCUAUAAGACUGGGAUAACUUCGGGAAACCGGAGCUAAUACUGGAUAAUAUUUCGAACCGCAUGGUUCGAUAGCGAAAGAUGGUUUUGCUAUCACUUAUAGAUGGACCCGCGCCGUAUUAGCUAGUUGGUAAGGUAACGGCUUACCAAGGCGACGAUACGUAGCCGACCUGAGAGGGUGAUCGGCCACACUGGAACUGAGACACGGUCCAG